This 2303-nucleotide long non-coding RNA is filed under the name Salmo salar (Atlantic salmon). Its description in RNAcentral is "lncRNA (ENSSSAG00000118853.1)". The record is from RNAcentral. Lineage: Eukaryota; Metazoa; Chordata; Actinopteri; Salmoniformes; Salmonidae.
GUCUGAAUGGAGUCUGUCUGAAUGGAGUCUGUCUGAAUAGAGUCUGUCUGAAUAGAGUCUGUGUUAAUAGUGUCUGUCUGAAUAGUGUCUGUCUGAAUGGAGUCUGUCUGAAUGGAGUCUGUCUGAAUAGAGUCUGUCUGAACAGUGUCUGUCUGACAGACUCCAUUCAGACUGCCCAGAGAGAUCACUCCACAGCCCAGCCAGCGUAUGUAGUGAUUGGUUGAACGCCCAGCAAGAUCACUCACAGCCCUUUCUACCACUGUAUUGUCACUAGAAUGCAGCUCAUGCUAGGUGUUAACGUUAGGUGUUAACGUUAGGUGUUAUUGCCAGGUAGGUGUUAACGCUAGGUAGGUGUUAACGCUAGGUAGGUGUUAACGCCAGGUAGGUGUUAACGCUAGGUAGGUGUUAACGCUAGGUAGGUGUUAACGCUAGGUAGGUGUUAACGCCAGGUAGGUGUUAACGCUAGGUAGGUGUUAACGCUAGGUAGGUGUUAACGCUAGGUAGGUGUUAACGCCAGGUAGGUGUUAACGCUAGGUAGGUGUUAAUGCUAGGUAGGUGUUAACGCUAGGUGUUAACGUUAGGUAGGUGUUAACGUUAGGUGUUAACGCUAGGCGUUAACGCUAGGUAGGUGUUAACGCUAGGUGUUAACGCUAUGUGUGAGCUAAUCCUCACAUAGGUAAGAUAGAACAGAGAUGGGAGGAAGGAGGGACAGAAAGAAAGAGAGAAAAAGUGAUAGAGAAGAAGACAGAAAUAGAGAAAGUGACAGAUGUGGCUAGGGGGUGACGGUUGCAGCUCCCAGAGGGGGGUGGGUGAGAGAGAGAGAGAGAGAGAGAGAGAGAGAGAGAGAGAAAUACACUACGGAAGAAGAAGGAACAGCACGUCAGAAAUCAGCUCAAUGUAACUGAAGAAUCCAUAGAAUCGAACCACUUCUGGGAAAAUUGGAAAACACUAAACAAACAACAACAUGAAGAGUUAUUUAUCCAAAAUGGAGAUGUAUGGAUAAACCACUUCUUUCAUCUUGUUGGCUCUAUAACAAAGAACAAACAGCAAAAUCAGUAUACAUGACUAAAUACAAAUCUUAAAAUCAAUUAUUAAAGACUACCAGAACCUACUGGAUUCUCCAAUUACAUUGAAUGAUCUACAGGACAAAAUAUAAUCCCUCCAACCCAAAAAGGCCUGUGGUGUUGAUGGUAUCCUCAAUGAAAUGAUAAAAUAUACAGAUCACAAAUUCCAACUGGUUAUACUUAAACUCUUUAACAUCAUCCUCAGCUCUGGCAUCUUCCCCAACAUUUGGAACCAAGGACUGAUCACCCCAGUAGCUAACUAACAUUAGAUAACUAGUUAACAUACCGGUACUUAUAGUGUAGCUAACUAACGUUAGAUAACUAGCUAACAUACCGGUAUAACUAGCUAACAUACCGGUACAUAUAGUGUAGCUAACUAACGUUAGCUAACUAGCUAACAUACCGGUACAUAUAGUGUAGCUAACUAACGUUAGCUAACUAGCUAACAUACCGGUACAUAUUGCUGUAAUGCUAUGCGGUUCGUAAGGAUAGUGUAGCUAACAAAUUGUCAGCCAACAUAACGUGUAAGGUAACUUAUUUGAAAAGUCAUUACUUUUUAUUACAUUGCUCAUAAUUACUUAAAGCAAUGAAUUUGUGUCCACUCUCGUCAAACUUCGGCUGCAUAUUUUCUGCCAUUUCUUCAAAUCUGAAAACGUUGUGAAGCCACGCCCAUUUUCUGAAGAACUGCAUUAUGGGCCCUAAAAGCACAGAAAUAGUGUCCACUGCAUGUAUACUUCGUAUUUUGGCAAAUUUAGUAUGACAUCCAGGAACUUUUGGCUUACUAACUAUAUCCAUACAGUACUAUGACCAAUAAGCAUACUAUAUACUCAAUUCAGUUAGUAUGACUAUUCGAACACAGCUUUGGUCUUUUAUAAAGCCACCGGUGGUAUUCAUUAUUGUUCCGAAUAAUCUUUCAUUUUGGAAAAUGAAUUGGAGCCCUUCAUUGCUGAAGAUUUAGUGUCUCUUUUUCUCUUCUUCCCUACAUCUCCUCUCGCUUCUAACAUCUCUCUCUGUCUCUCUCACGCUCUCUCCCUCGCGCUCUCUCUCUCUGCUCUCUUUCCCUCUCUCUGCUCUCCCUCUCUCUCUUUCUCUCUCUCUGCUCUCUCAUUCUCUCACCUCUAUAUUUCGCUAUUAUCUAAAUUCAAUUCUAAGGGCUUUAUCUCUCUCUCUCUCUAUUAUCGCUCUGCUAUUUCUCUCUCCUCUUUCCUCUUCUCUCUACUUUCUCUCUCCUCUCUCUCU